This 230-nucleotide unclassified non-coding RNA is filed under the name uncultured Basidiomycota. RNAcentral's name for it is "sequence contains ITS2". The record is from RNAcentral. Lineage: Eukaryota; Fungi; Basidiomycota.
AACUCUCAACCCCCUCGUUUUGUAAUGAAGCGAGCGCGGGCUUGGAUUGUGGUCGCUGCCGGUCUUCAAUUGAUCAGCUCGACUGAAAUACAUGAGCGUACCUAUAAUUGGUAGCGGUAGCUUAUCCUGGCGUGAUAGUAUUAUUCGCCUAGAUUGCUUACAUGCAUUACUCCAAGUAUAGCGGCGCUAUAUAAUGCCGGACGGCUUUCAUGAGCCAACCGAUUUCACCU